RNAcentral lists this ribosomal RNA (2906 nucleotides) under Shigella flexneri K-218. RNAcentral describes it as "bacterial LSU rRNA". It matches the Rfam family "Bacterial large subunit ribosomal RNA". Lineage: Bacteria; Pseudomonadati; Pseudomonadota; Gammaproteobacteria; Enterobacterales; Enterobacteriaceae. The record is from RNAcentral.
UUAAGCGACUAAGCGUACACGGUGGAUGCCCUGGCAGUCAGAGGCGAUGAAGGACGUGCUAAUCUGCGAUAAGCGUCGGUAAGGUGAUAUGAACCGUUAUAACCGGCGAUUUCCGAAUGGGGAAACCCAGUGUGAUUCGUCACACUAUCAUUAACUGAAUCCAUAGGUUAAUGAGGCGAACCGGGGGAACUGAAACAUCUAAGUACCCCGAGGAAAAGAAAUCAACCGAGAUUCCCCCAGUAGCGGCGAGCGAACGGGGAGCAGCCCAGAGCCUGAAUCAGUGUGUGUGUUAGUGGAAGCGUCUGGAAAGGCGUGCGAUACAGGGUGACAGCCCCGUACACAAAAAUGCACAUACUGUGAGCUCGAUGAGUAGGGCGGGACACGUGGUAUCCUGUCUGAAUAUGGGGGGACCAUCCUCCAAGGCUAAAUACUCCUGACUGACCGAUAGUGAACCAGUACCGUGAGGGAAAGGCGAAAAGAACCCCGGCGAGGGGAGUGAAAAAGAACCUGAAACCGUGUACGUACAAGCAGUGGGAGCACGCUUAGGCGUGUGACUGCGUACCUUUUGUAUAAUGGGUCAGCGACUUAUAUUCUGUAGCAAGGUUAACCGAAUAGGGGAGCCGAAGGGAAACCGAGUCUUAACUGGGCGUUAAGUUGCAGGGUAUAGACCCGAAACCCGGUGAUCUAGCCAUGGGCAGGUUGAAGGUUGGGUAACACUAACUGGAGGACCGAACCGACUAAUGUUGAAAAAUUAGCGGAUGACUUGUGGCUGGGGGUGAAAGGCCAAUCAAACCGGGAGAUAGCUGGUUCUCCCCGAAAGCUAUUUAGGUAGCGCCUCGUGAAUUCAUCUCCGGGGGUAGAGCACUGUUUCGGCAAGGGGGUCAUCCCGACUUACCAACCCGAUGCAAACUGCGAAUACCGGAGAAUGUUAUCACGGGAGACACACGGCGGGUGCUAACGUCCGUCGUGAAGAGGGAAACAACCCAGACCGCCAGCUAAGGUCCCAAAGUCAUGGUUAAGUGGGAAACGAUGUGGGAAGGCCCAGACAGCCAGGAUGUUGGCUUUAGAAGCAGCCAUCAUUUAAAGAAAGCGUAAUAGCUCACUGGUCGAGUCGGCCUGCGCGGAAGAUGUAACGGGGCUAAACCAUGCACCGAAGCUGCGGCAGCGACGCUUAUGCGUUGUUGGGUAGGGGAGCGUUCUGUAAGCCUGUGAAGGUGUGCUGUGAGGUAUGCUGGAGGUAUCAGAAGUGCGAAUGCUGACAUAAGUAACGAUAAAGCGGGUGAAAAGCCCGCUCGCCGGAAGACCAAGGGUUCCUGUCCAACGUUAAUCGGGGCAGGGUGAGUCGACCCCUAAGGCGAGGCCGAAAGGCGUAGUCGAUGGGAAACAGGUUAAUAUUCCUGUACUUGGUGUUACUGCGAAGGGGGACGGAGAAGGCUAUGUUGGCCGGGCGACGGUUGUCCCGGUUUAAGCGUGUAGGCUGGUUUUCCAGGCAAAUCCGGAAAAUCAAGGCCGAGGCGUGAUGACGAGGCACUACGGUGCUGAAGCAACAAAUGCCCUGCUUCCAGGAAAAGCCUCUAAGCAUCAGGUAACAUCAAAUCGUACCCCAAACCGACACAGGUGGUCAGGUAGAGAAUACCAAGGCGCUUGAGAGAACUCGGGUGAAGGAACUAGGCAAAAUGGUGCCGUAACUUCGGGAGAAGGCACGCUGAUACGUAGGUGAAGCGACUUGCUCGUGGAGCUGAAAUCAGUCGAAGAUACCAGCUGGCUGCAACUGUUUAUUAAAAACACAGCACUGUGCAAACACGAAAGUGGACGUAUACGGUGUGACGCCUGCCCGGUGCCGGAAGGUUAAUUGAUGGGGUUAGCGCAAGCGAAGCUCUUGAUCGAAGCCCCGGUAAACGGCGGCCGUAACUAUAACGGUCCUAAGGUAGCGAAAUUCCUUGUCGGGUAAGUUCCGACCUGCACGAAUGGCGUAAUGAUGGCCAGGCUGUCUCCACCCGAGACUCAGUGAAAUUGAACUCGCUGUGAAGAUGCAGUGUACCCGCGGCAAGACGGAAAGACCCCGUGAACCUUUACUAUAGCUUGACACUGAACAUUGAGCCUUGAUGUGUAGGAUAGGUGGGAGGCUUUGAAGUGUGGACGCCAGUCUGCAUGGAGCCGACCUUGAAAUACCACCCUUUUAAUGUUUGAUGGUUCUAACGUGGACCCGUGAUCCGGGUUGCGGACAGUGUCUGGUGGGUAGUUUUGACUUGGGGCGGUCUCCUCCUAAAGAGUAACGGAGGAGCACGAAGGUUGGCUAAUCCUGGUCGGACAUCAGGAGGUUAGUGCAAUGGCAUAAGCCAGCUUGACUGCGAGCGUGACGGCGCGAGCAGGUGCGAAAGCAGGUCAUAGUGAUCCGGUGGUUCUGAAUGGAAGGGCCAUCGCUCAACGGAUAAAAGGUACUCCGGGGAUAACAGGCUGAUACCGCCCAAGAGUUCAUAUCGACGGCGGUGUUUGGCACCUCGAUGUCGGCUCAUCACAUCCUGGGGCUGAAGUAGGUCCCAAGGGUAUGGCUGUUCGCCAUUUAAAGUGGUACGCGAGCUGGGUUUAGAACGUCGUGAGACAGUUCGGUCCCUAUCUGCCGUGGGCGCUGGAGAACUGAGGGGGGCUGCUCCUAGUACGAGAGGACCGGAGUGGACGCAUCACUGGUGUUCGGGUUGUCAUGCCAAUGGCACUGCCCGGUAGCUAAAUGCGGAAGAGAUAAGUGCUGAAAGCAUCUAAGCACGAAACUUGCCCCGAGAUGAGUUCUCCCUGACCCUUUAAGGGUCCUGAAGGAACGUUGAAGACGACGACGUUGAUAGGCCGGGUGUGUAAGCGCAGCGAUGCGUUGAGCUAACCGGUACUAAUGAACCGUGAGGCUUAACCUU